CCUACGGGAGGCAGCAGUGGGGAAUAUUGGACAAUGGGCGAAAGCCUGAUCCAGCAAUGCCGCGUGAGUGAUGAAGGCCUUCGGGUCGUAAAGCUCUUUUACCAGGGAUGAUAAUGACAGUACCUGGAGAAUAAGCUCCGGCUAACUCCGUGCCAGCAGCCGCGGUAAUACGGAGGGAGCUAGCGUUGUUCGGAAUUACUGGGCGUAAAGAGUACGUAGGCGGUUAUUCAAGUCAGAGGUGAAAGCCCGGGGCUCAACCCCGGAACUGCCUUUGAAACUAGAUAACUAGAGUCUUGGAGAGGUUAGUGGAAUUCCGAGUGUAGAGGUGAAAUUCGUAGAUAUUCGGAAGAACACCAGUGGCGAAGGCGACUAACUGGACAAGUACUGACGCUGAGGUACGAAAGCGUGGGGAGCAAACAGGAUUAGAUACCCUGGUAGUCCACGCCGUAAACGAUGAUAACUAGUUGUUCGGUCACUUGGUGACUGAGUGACGCAGCUAACGCAUUAAGUUAUCCGCCUGGGGAGUACGGUCGCAAGAUUAAAACUCAAAAUGAAAUUGACGGCUGNGAGNGCGAGCGACACGAGGAGAGG
This 591-nucleotide ribosomal RNA is filed under the name uncultured bacterium. RNAcentral describes it as "bacterial SSU rRNA". It matches the Rfam family "Bacterial small subunit ribosomal RNA", at positions 338 to 944 of the family's 1533-position model. The record is from RNAcentral.